Molecule: ribosomal RNA, 602 nt
Filed under: Burkholderia sp. N2s_28
Lineage: Bacteria; Pseudomonadati; Pseudomonadota; Betaproteobacteria; Burkholderiales; Burkholderiaceae
Description: bacterial SSU rRNA
Rfam family: Bacterial small subunit ribosomal RNA
Source: RNAcentral
UGUGAAGAAGGCCUUCGGGUUGUAAAGCACUUUUGUCCGGAAAGAAAACUUCGUCCCUAAUAUGGAUGGAGGAUGACGGUACCGGAAGAAUAAGCACCGGCUAACUACGUGCCAGCAGCCGCGGUAAUACGUAGGGUGCGAGCGUUAAUCGGAAUUACUGGGCGUAAAGCGUGCGCAGGCGGUCUGUUAAGACCGAUGUGAAAUCCCCGGGCUUAACCUGGGAACUGCAUUGGUGACUGGCAGGCUUUGAGUGUGGCAAAGGGGGGUAGAAUUCCACGUGUAGCAGUGAAAUGCGUAGAGAUGUGGAGGAAUACCGAUGGCGAAGGCAGCCCCCUGGGCCAACACUGACGCUCAUGCACGAAAGCGUGGGGAGCAAACAGGAUUAGAUACCCUGGUAGUCCACGCCCUAAACGAUGUCAACUAGUUGUUGGGGAUUCAUUUCCUUAGUAACGUAGCUAACGCGUGAAGUUGACCGCCUGGGGAGUACGGUCGCAAGAUUAAAACUCAAAGGAAUUGACGGGGACCCGCACAAGCGGUGGAUGAUGUGGAUUAAUUCGAUGCAACGCGAAAAACCUUACCUACCCUUGACAUGGUCGGAACCC